RNAcentral lists this transfer RNA (64 nucleotides) under Triops cancriformis. RNAcentral's name for it is "tRNA-Tyr". It matches the Rfam family "tRNA". From Rfam's summary of the family: Transfer RNA (tRNA) molecules are approximately 80 nucleotides in length. Their secondary structure includes four short double-helical elements and three loops (D, anti-codon, and T loops). The record is from RNAcentral. Lineage: Eukaryota; Metazoa; Arthropoda; Branchiopoda; Notostraca; Triopsidae.
CAAUAUAGUGACUGAAUUAAAGUGUUAGACUGUAAAUCUAAAUAUGGGAGUUUCCCCUAUAUUA